AAAAAAAAAAAAAAAAAGAUACUUUUACUUUUAUUCAAAUGCAUACUUCCCACCCGCGGCGCCCACUCCCUUCGGCCCCGCGGGCCGCCGGCUCGGCGAGGCGGACCCGGAGCGCCCCAGGCCCCGCGCCGUCGGGCCGCGAGCCCCGCAGUGACCUGGAAGCCUGAGGCUGGCGUCGGGCCGGAUCGCGGGGCCGCUGCUGGACCCCGGCCUCGCCAAGGUAGGGGGGCCUGGCCGGGAGCCCCGACAGCGCCGCCGAGCGGGCCGGCCGCGGCGGGGCGGCGGGAGCGGCGGGGCGGCGGGGAGGGUCCCGGCCGGGCGCACCGGAGAGCCAGGGCCGCCCGGCGCUUUCCCCCGCCAGCUGUCGGCUGCGACCCGGGCGGCGGGGGCGGCGGGGCCGGCGGGGGCGGCGGGGGCGGCGGGGCCGGCGGGAGCGGCGGGGACGGCGGGGACGGCGGGAGCGGCGGGAGCGGCGGGAGCGGCGGGGCCGGCGGGGCGGCGGGAGCGGCGGGAGCGGCGGGGACGGCGGGAGCGGCGGGGCCGGCGGGGCGGCGGGAGCGGCGGGAGCGGCGGGGACGGCGGGAGCGGCGGGAGCGGCGGGGACGGCGGGAGCGGCGGGAGCGGCGGGGACGGCGGGAGCGGCGCGCCGCGGGGGAGGUGCGCGCGGCGGCCGCGGGCGAGCGGAGCGGAGCGGAGCUGAGCGGCGCGGCGUCCGCCCCCGCCGAGCCGAGGUGGAGCCGAGCGGAGCGGCGCGCCGGGAGCUGGGAGCGCGCCCCGAGGCCGGCUGAGGGCCGCCCGCCGGAGGGUCGCGCCCGCGCCCGCGCCCCGCUCUCGGGGCCCCGACCCGGACCGCGGCGAGCCGGGCGGCCACCUGCUGCGUGGCGCCGCGGGCCUCGGCGUUCCGGCGCGGGCGGGCGUCCGUGCGGUCUGGGGCGGGGGCGGCCGGGCGCGCGCGCCCUCGGCGGAAGCGUUGCCCGCACCGUGCGGACGGCGUCCCUCCGGCGCCUCGCCGAGCCCGGGCCGCCGCCUGCGCCAGGUACCGGGGCGAUGGGAAGCGCGCGUGGGCCGCCGGGCGGGGGCGCGGGGAGCCCCGGGGGGGCGGGGACGGCGGGGGCGGCCGGGCGCCCGGAGCGGGGGUGGGGGCGCCGUCCCCGCGGCCCGAGAGGCGGCAGACGCGCUCCCCCGCGCGCCCAAACUUUCCCGUGGCUCACUCUGCUGGACUUAACUUUGAGUCGGGAGGUGAAGCCCAGCAGCCUCAAGCUUUACGAAAAUAACCGAACAGGGAGGACGGUGCCGCGGGCCUGA
This 1305-nucleotide long non-coding RNA is filed under the name Canis lupus familiaris (dog). RNAcentral describes it as "lncRNA (ENSCAFG00040016090.1)". The record is from RNAcentral. Lineage: Eukaryota; Metazoa; Chordata; Mammalia; Carnivora; Canidae.